ACUGAAUAGACCCAGGUAGUCCCAGCCGUAAACGAUGCUCGCUAGGUGUCAGGCAUGGCGCGACCGUGUCUGGUGCCGCAGGGAAGCCGUGAAGCGAGCCACCUGGGAAGUACGGCCGCAAGGCUGAAACUUAAAGGAAUUGGCGGGGGAGCACAACAACGGGUGGAGCCUGCGGUUUAAUUGGACUCAACGCCGGACAACUCACCGGGGGCGACAGCAAUAUGUAGGCCAAGCUGAAGACUUUGCCCGAAUCGCUGAGAGGAGGUGCAUGGCCGUCGCCAGUUCGUACUGUGAAGCAUCCUGUUAAGUCAGGCAACGAGCGAGACCCGUGCCCACUGUUACCAGCAUGUCCUUUGGGAUGAUGGGUACUCUGUGGGGACCGCCGGUGUCAAAUCGGAGGAAGGUGCGGGCCACGGUAGGUCAGUAUGCCCCGAAUCUCCCGGGCUACACGCGGGCUACAAUGAAUGGGACAAUGGGUCCCUUCCCUGAAAAGGGUUGGUAAUCUCACAAACCCAUCCUUAGUUCGGAUUGAGGGCUGUAACUC
RNAcentral lists this ribosomal RNA (544 nucleotides) under uncultured bacterium. RNAcentral's name for it is "bacterial SSU rRNA". It matches the Rfam family "Archaeal small subunit ribosomal RNA", at positions 723 to 1269 of the family's 1478-position model. The record is from RNAcentral.